This 522-nucleotide ribosomal RNA is filed under the name uncultured Ralstonia sp. RNAcentral's name for it is "partial 16S ribosomal RNA". Lineage: Bacteria; Pseudomonadati; Pseudomonadota; Betaproteobacteria; Burkholderiales; Burkholderiaceae. The record is from RNAcentral.
ACUCCCCAGGCGGAGUGCUUAAUGCGUUAGCUGCAGCACUAAGGGGCGGAAACCCCCUAACACUUAGCACUCAUCGUUUACGGCGUGGACUACCAGGGUAUCUAAUCCUGUUUGAUCCCCACGCUUUCGCACAUCAGCGUCAGUUACAGACCAGAAAGUCGCCUUCGCCACUGGUGUUCCUCCAUAUCUCUGCGCAUUUCACCGCUACACAUGGAAUUCCACUUUCCUCUUCUGCACUCAAGUUUUCCAGUUUCCAAUGACCCUCCACGGUUGAGCCGUGGGCUUUCACAUCAGACUUAAAAAACCGCCUACGCGCGCUUUACGCCCAAUAAUUCCGGAUAACGCUUGCCACCUACGUAUUACCGCGGCUGCUGGCACGUAGUUAGCCGUGGCUUUCUGAUUAGGUACCGUCAAGAUGUGCACAGUUACUUACACAUAUGUUCUUCCCUAAUAACAGAGUUUUACGAUCCGAAGACCUUCAUCACUCACGCGGCGUUGCUCCGUCAGGCUUUCGCCCAUUGC